GUAAUUAUGUUAAUACCAAUACUACUGCUUUAACUCAUUGUGUCAAGAAGCACAGUACUUUGGACUCAGUCAAGGUCGCCUUCUCCUGUAACUCAGUCUCUAAUCACCUGACAAUAAAAAAAAAAAAACUUACUAUCAAAAGCCAGUGAAAAGACAGAUUUAUAGCAUUUCAUAUAAUAGUAGUUUAUUGAAUGCCAUGACCACCUCAAUCAAUUUAAACCAAUCUUUAAAAUAUCAUUCUAGCAAGUAAAGUGAAUAACUUGAAAAAAUAGUGGGGGGGUGAUUAGGGGUGUGGGGUGUGAAGGUUUUUGAGGAAGAACAAGAGCUCAAGCCUUCUGUUUGAAUGUACUGUCAAGAAGACAAAGAGCACAGGGAACUGUAUCCAAUCUCCUGGGAUUGAAAUCCAUGAUGGAACAUAACAUGAGAAAAGUAAUGUACAUAUAUAUGUAUGACUGGUCCUUUUCCUACACAGGAGUAAUGGCACAACAUCGUAAACCAACUAUACUUUAUUUUUUAAAAACACUUAAAAAAGACAAAAGCUUAUUUACACAUGUAACCAUUCUAAAAAUGUGUCCCGUCUAUGCUCUUAUUCUCUUAAAGGAUUCUUUCUUACAUGAAUGGCAACAAAGAUACUGUAACUUUCCCCAAGUGUAAGGUUAUGUGAGAUUCAUCUCUGCUCAUUUACAGCACCCAAGAAUUUUCACCCUCUGAGAAGGAAUAAUGCUCUCAGACAAGCUGAUGACCCUCACCUAGGAAAAACUUCAUGUGAGCAUCAUUAAAUGUAGUAAGUCAUUUAUCUAUAUGUCAUUAAGAAUCUAUGAAGAGAAAUAAAGUCGAUGUAUAUUGAUCCAUUUUAGACCUACUGAUCUUCUUAUAAGGACAUAAAGGAAAAAUUACAUGUAAUAUGGAUUACUGACACGUGCUUGGGAUUUUAUAUAACACAAUAUUUAAGAAAGCAUAUUAGACUGAAAGAUGAGGAUAUGUGGGUUUUACAACUCUUCUAAAGAUUUUACAACUUUAGGCAAAAUGAUACCCAACACUUUGGCUACUUACUUAUGUGAUGAUGGUAAGAAGUUGGACAAGAUAACAUCCAAGGUUACUUUGAGCUAUUAUUCAAUUUCUACACCUCAAGAUCUAAAUUAGUCUUCUCCUGCUGCUGUAACAAACUACCACAAAUUUAAUGGCUUAAAACAACACAAAUUUAUUGUCUUAUAAUUCUGAAAGACUAAAGUAAAAAAGCAGCUUCCCCUGGCAAAGUCAGGGUUUCAGCAGCGUUCCUCCAGAGGGCCUAAGGGAAAAUCUAUUUGCUUACCUCUUCCAUCUUCUAGAGGCUGCCUACAUUCCUCAAAUCACGGACCCUUUCGUCUUCAAAGCCAUCAGUGUAGCAUCUACAAAUUUUACUCCUUUCUCACUGUUUCAAUCAUCACUUUGUCUCUGAGUCUGACUUUACUGCUUGUAUCCAUGUAUCUUCUCUCUCUGACUUUGACCUUCCUGCCUCCUUCGUAAAAGGGUUAUUGCAGUUUCAUCAUUGAACCCUCUUGAAUAGACCAGUUUAAUCUAUCUCAGGAUCCUUACAUCUGCAAAGUCUUUUUUGCCAUGUAAAGGUAACAUCAUCACAGGUACUUGUGAUUAAUAUGUUAAUAUGUCUUUGGAGGGCUACUGUUCAGUCCACCACACUAACAUAUCCUUCAAAGUGGUUAUGCAUCUGAGUUACUGCAAAAGAACAAUUUUCCUAAUUUGAAAGAAACAUAAUAAAAUGAACCAUGUAUCCAAGUGAGUUGUAACCAGCAAAGUCACUUUCAAAAAAACAGAAAAUUGGCUCACUAAUCUUGCCAUUGCUCAGAUUUUGGUAAAAUACUUAUUUGGAAGGGCUUUCAGAGUCAACUACAUAUUCUUUUGAAUGUCAUCAUUGUUGCUUUUAAUAUCAGUUAUUUGAAACCAACAGUAAUGAAUGAAAUGACGUGUUUCAUACUUUUCACAUAAAAAAUACUAAAUCAAAAAAAAAAAAAAAAA
Sus scrofa (pig) is the source of this 2013-nucleotide non-coding RNA. NCBI's taxonomy places the organism in Eukaryota, Metazoa, Chordata, Mammalia, Artiodactyla, Suidae. The record is from RefSeq and is a predicted model, not a curated record.